RNAcentral lists this microRNA precursor (103 nucleotides) under Marmota monax (woodchuck). The record is from RNAcentral. Lineage: Eukaryota; Metazoa; Chordata; Mammalia; Rodentia; Sciuridae.
AGUGAGAUAAUUGGGUCAAAUGGUGAUUCUAUUCCAAGUUUUCUGAGUAAUUGCCAUACUGCUUUCCAAAGUGGUUGCACCAAUUUGCAGUUCCAGAAGUAAU